Molecule: non-coding RNA, 116 nt
Organism: Hypoxylon sp. CI-4A
Lineage: Eukaryota; Fungi; Ascomycota; Sordariomycetes; Xylariales; Hypoxylaceae
Source: the annotation of a GenBank genome assembly
GGCGCAGUGGCGGAGUGGUCUAACGCGCAAGACUAGAAUUUGUUCCAGAUUUUCGUCUGGAUGGAAUCUGUGAUCUUGUUCCUUCGGGAGCGUCUGUUCGAAUCAGGCCUGCGUCG